GGAGUUAGCCGGUGCUUCUUCUGUGAGUGAUGUCCUUCCUGCCGGCUAUUAACCCGCAGGCCUUCUUCCUCACUGAAAGUGCUUUACAACCCGAAGGCCUUCUUCACACACGCGGCAUGGCUGGAUCAGGGUUGCCCCCAUUGUCCAAUAUUCCCCACUGCUGCCUCCCGUAGGAGUCUGGGCCGUGUCUCAGUCCCAGUGUGGCUGAUCAUCCUCUCAGACCAGCUACGGAUCGUCGCCUUGGUGAGCCGUUACCUCACCAACCAGCUAAUCCGACAUAGGCUCAUCCGAUAGCGCGAGGCCCGAAGGUCCCCCGCUUUCCCCCGUAGGGCGUAUGCGGUAUUAGCCUGGGUUUCCCCAGGUUAUCCCCCACUACCGGGCAGAUUCCUAUGCAUUACUCACCCGUCCGCCGCUCGCCACCAGGGAGCAAGCUCCCCGUGCUGCCGCUCGACUUGCAUGUGUUAGGCCUGCCGCCAGCGUUCAAUCUGAGCCAUANAUAACAACUCUACGACGUAGACGGCGGUCGUCGACGAACGGCGACAGUAG
Molecule: ribosomal RNA, 546 nt
Filed under: uncultured bacterium
Lineage: Bacteria
Description: partial 16S ribosomal RNA
Source: RNAcentral